UGGAUUGGUGCCUUCGGGAACUGUGAGACAGGUGCUGCAUGGCUGUCGUCAGCUCGUGUUGUGAAAUGUUGGGUUAAGUCCCGCAACGAGCGCAACCCUUAUCCUUUGUUGCCAGCGAUUAGGUCGGGAACUCAAAGGAGACUGCCAGUGAUAAACUGGAGGAAGGUGGGGAUGACGUCAAGUCAUCAUGGCCCUUACGACCAGGGCUACACACGUGCUACAAUGGCGCAUACAAAGAGAAGCGACCUCGCGAGAGCAAGCGGACCUCAUAAAGUGCGUCGUAGUCCGGAUUGGAGUCUGCAACUCGACUCCAUGAAGUCGGAAUCGCUAGUAAUCGUGGAUCAGAAUGCCACGGUGAAUACGUUCCCGGGCCUUGUACACACCGCCCGUCACACCAUGGGAGUGGGUUGCAAAAGAAGUAGGUAGCUUAACCUUCGGGAGGGCGCUUACCACUUUGUGAUUCAUGACUGGGGUGAAGUCGUAACAAGGUAACCGUAGGGGAACCUGCGGUUGGAUCACCUCCUUACCUUAAAGAA
RNAcentral lists this ribosomal RNA (536 nucleotides) under Salmonella enterica subsp. enterica. RNAcentral describes it as "bacterial SSU rRNA". It matches the Rfam family "Bacterial small subunit ribosomal RNA", at positions 1007 to 1533 of the family's 1533-position model. Lineage: Bacteria; Pseudomonadati; Pseudomonadota; Gammaproteobacteria; Enterobacterales; Enterobacteriaceae. The record is from RNAcentral.